RNAcentral lists this ribosomal RNA (491 nucleotides) under uncultured bacterium. RNAcentral describes it as "partial 16S ribosomal RNA". It matches the Rfam family "Bacterial small subunit ribosomal RNA", at positions 29 to 506 of the family's 1533-position model. The record is from RNAcentral.
AGUGAACGCUGGCGGUAGGCCUAACACAUGCCAGUCGAACGGCAGCACAGUAAGAGCUUGCUCUUACGGGUGGCGAGUGGCGGACGGGUGAGGAAUACAUCGGAAUCUACUUUUUCGUGGGGGAUAACGUAGGGAAACUUACGCUAAUACCGCAUACGACCUACGGGUGAAAGCAGGGGAUCUUCGGACCUUGCGCGAUUGAAUGAGCCGAUGUCGGAUUAGCUAGUUGGCGGGGUAAAGGCCCACCAAGGCGACGAUCCGUAGCUGGUCUGAGAGGAUGAUCAGCCACACUGGAACUGAGACACGGUCCAGACUCCUACGGGAGGCAGCAGUGGGGAAUAUUGGACAAUGGGCGCAAGCCUGAUCCAGCCAUACCGCGUGGGUGAAGAAGGCCUUCGGGUUGUAAAGCCCUUUUGUUGGGAAAGAAAAGCAGCAGGUUAAUACCCCGCUGUUCUGACGGUACCCAAAGAAUAAGCACCGGCGAACUGCGU